AAGUCGUAACAAGGUUUCCGUAGGUGAACCUGCGGAAGGAUCAUUAUAGAGAAUAUCGCCCUCACCGGUGACUCUCCAACCCUGUGUUAUUUAUACCUCUGUUGCUUUGGCGGGCCGCUCCGGCCACCGGCUCCGCGCUGGUGAGCGCUCGCCAGAGGACCCAAAACUCUUGAAUAUCAGUAUCGUCUGAGUACUAUAUAAUAGUUAAAACUUUCAACAACGGAUCUCUUGGUUCUG
RNAcentral lists this unclassified non-coding RNA (237 nucleotides) under air metagenome. RNAcentral's name for it is "partial contains small subunit ribosomal RNA, internal transcribed spacer 1, and 5.8S ribosomal RNA". The stretch from base 1 to 46 matches the Rfam family "Eukaryotic small subunit ribosomal RNA", at positions 1786 to 1831 of the family's 1831-position model. The record is from RNAcentral.